RNAcentral lists this unclassified non-coding RNA (390 nucleotides) under soil metagenome. RNAcentral describes it as "partial contains 5.8S ribosomal RNA, internal transcribed spacer 2, and large subunit ribosomal RNA". The stretch from base 1 to 120 matches the Rfam family "5.8S ribosomal RNA", at positions 35 to 154 of the family's 154-position model. The record is from RNAcentral.
GAUGAAGAACGCAGCGAAAUGCGAUAAGUAAUGUGAAUUGCAGAAUUCCGUGAAUCAUCAAAUCUUUGAACGCACAUUGCGCCUUUUGGUACUCCUCAAGGCAUGCCUGUUCGAGAAUCAGUUUAACCAUCAUACUUUAAUAUGGAAACAUAUUUAGGUGUGGAGUUGGGAGUUCUUGAAAGAGAUACCCUAAUUUUAUUUGUUGCACAUCUCCAGUGAGAUUGGAUGUAAAGGCAUGACCAUUGAACGCAAGUUCUUCCGAUUGCAAGAGCAUACAUUUGAACUUUUGAUGUUGCCCAGAAUUUUAUACGAAGAUUAAUCAUCUUUAAGACUUGAUCUCGAAUCAGACAAGACUACCCGCUGAACUUAAGCAUAUCAAUAAGCGGAGGA